CUGCGGCAGCGACGCUUAUGCGUUGUUGGGUAGGGGAGCGUUCUGUAAGCCUGCGAAGGUGGCCUGUGAGGGUUGCUGGAGGUAUCAGAAGUGCGAAUGCUGACAUAAGUAACGAUAAAGCGGGUGAAAAGCCCGCUCGCCGGAAGACCAAGGGUUCCUGUCCAACGUUAAUCGGGGCAGGGUGAGUCGACCCCUAAGGCGAGGCCGAAAGGCGUAGUCGAUGGGAAACGGGUUAAUAUUCCCGUACUUGGUGUUACUGCGAAGGGGGGACGGAGAAGGCUAUGUUGGCCGGGCGACGGUUGUCCCGGUUUAAGCGUGUAGGUGUGUGUUCCAGGUAAAUCCGGUUCACUUUAACACUGAGGCGUGACGACGAGGCACUACGGUGCUGAAGCAACAAAUGCCCUGCUUCCAGGAAAAGCCUCUAAGCAUCAGGUAACAUCAAAUCGUACCCCAAACCGACACAGGUGGUCAGGUAGAGAAUACCAAGGCGCUUGAGAGAACUCGGGUGAAGGAACUAGGCAAAAUGGUGCCGUAACUUCGGGAGAAGGCACGCUGACACGUAGGUGAAGUGAUUUACUCAUGGAGCUGAAGUCAGUCGAAGAUACCAGCUGGCUGCAACUGUUUAUUAAAAACACAGCACUGUGCAAACACGAAAGUGGACGUAUACGGUGUGACGCCUGCCCGGUGCCGGAAGGUUAAUUGAUGGGGUCAGCGCAAGCGAAGCUCCUGAUCGAAGCCCCGGUAAACGGCGGCCGUAACUAUAACGGUCCUAAGGUAGCGAAAUUCCUUGUCGGGUAAGUUCCGACCUGCACGAAUGGCGUAAUGAUGGCCAGGCUGUCUCCACCCGAGACUCAGUGAAAUUGAACUCGCUGUGAAGAUGCAGUGUACCCGCGGCAAGACGGAAAGACCCCGUGAACCUUUACUAUAGCUUGACACUGAACAUUGAGCCUUGAUGUGUAGGAUAGGUGGGAGGCUUUGAAGUGUGGACGCCAGUCUGCAUGGAGCCGACCUUGAAAUACCACCCUUUAAUGUUUGAUGUUCUAACGUGGACCCGUUACCCGGGUUGCGGACAGUGUCUGGUGGGUAGUUUGACUGGGGCGGUCUCCUCCUAAAGAGUAACGGAGGAGCACGAAGGUUGGCUAAUCCUGGUCGGACAUCAGGAGGUUAGUGCAAUGGCAUAAGCCAGCUUGACUGCGAGCGUGACGGCGCGAGCAGGUGCGAAAGCAGGUCAUAGUGAUCCGGUGGUUCUGAAUGGAAGGGCCAUCGCUCAACGGAUAAAAGGUACUCCGGGGAUAACAGGCUGAUACCGCCCAAGAGUUCAUAUCGACGGCGGUGUUUGGCACCUCGAUGUCGGCUCAUCACAUCCUGGGGCUGAAGUAGGUCCCAAGGGUAUGGCUGUUCGCCAUUUAAAGUGGUACGCGAGCUGGGUUUAGAACGUCGUGAGACAGU
RNAcentral lists this ribosomal RNA (1449 nucleotides) under Salmonella enterica subsp. enterica serovar Enteritidis. Its description in RNAcentral is "partial 23S ribosomal RNA". It matches the Rfam family "Bacterial large subunit ribosomal RNA", at positions 1200 to 2630 of the family's 2925-position model. Lineage: Bacteria; Pseudomonadati; Pseudomonadota; Gammaproteobacteria; Enterobacterales; Enterobacteriaceae. The record is from RNAcentral.